Acanthosepion pharaonis is the source of this 94-nucleotide non-coding RNA. The record is from the annotation of a GenBank genome assembly. NCBI's taxonomy places the organism in Eukaryota, Metazoa, Mollusca, Cephalopoda, Sepiida, Sepiidae.
GUUAAAACACCAGCUCCAGUAUGAUCACUGAAGUUAAGCAACAUUGUACUUGCUCAAUACCUAGAUAGGUGACCACUUGGGAAUACCAGGUGCU